RNAcentral lists this ribosomal RNA (254 nucleotides) under uncultured bacterium. Its description in RNAcentral is "partial 16S ribosomal RNA". It matches the Rfam family "Bacterial small subunit ribosomal RNA", at positions 524 to 776 of the family's 1533-position model. The record is from RNAcentral.
CACGUAGGGGGCAAGCGUUGUCCGGAUUUAUUGGGCGUAAAGAGCUCGUAGGCGGUUCGGUAAGUCGGGUGUGAAACCUCCAGGCUCAACCUGGAGACGCCACCCGAUACUGCUGUGACUAGAGUCCGGUAGGGGAGCGUGGAAUUCCUGGUGUAGCGGUGAAAUGCGCAGAUAUCGGGAAGAACACCUGUGGCGAAGGCGGUUCUCUGGGACGGUACUGACGCUGAGACGCGAAAGCGUGGGGAGCGAACAGG